This is a long non-coding RNA of Quercus robur (English oak), 232 nucleotides long. RefSeq lists it as uncharacterized. NCBI's taxonomy places the organism in Eukaryota, Viridiplantae, Streptophyta, Magnoliopsida, Fagales, Fagaceae. The transcript is spliced from 3 exons. The record is from RefSeq and is a predicted model, not a curated record.
AGUUAAGGAUAUGUUAUCUUCCAGGUACAGAUUCCUCGCUUGGUUUGGAUGCAUUCUGAUGAGAUGGAGGAUAUUCAAGAGGCACAUGCUGGGCAAAUAGUUGCUGUAUUUUGUGUGGAUUGUGCAUCAGGAUAUACAUUUACUGAUGGGUCAGUUAAAUCCACAAUGACUUCUAUGAAUGUCCCUAAGCCAAUGAUGCCUUUAGCCGUUCAACCAGUUUCAAAAGAUUCAC